UAGUGAACUUAUCGUUUAUUUAGAUAGUACCUUACUACUUGGAUAACCGUGGUAAUUCUAGAGCUAAUACAUGCUAAAAAUCCCGACUUCGGAAGGGAUGUAUUUAUUAGAUUAAAAACCAAUGCCCUCCGGGGCUCACUGGUGAUUCAUGAUAACUCCUCGAAUCGCAUGGCCUUGCGCCGGCGAUGGUUCAUUCAAAUUUCUUCCCUAUCAACUUUCGAUGUUUGGGUAUUGGCCAAACAUGGUUGCAACGGGUAACGGAGGGUUAGGGCUCGACCCCGGAGAAGGAGCCUGAGAAACGGCUACUACAUCCAAGGAAGGCAGCAGGCGCGCAAAUUACCCAAUCCCGACUCGGGGAGGUAGUGACAAUAAAUACUGAUACAGGGCUCUUUUGGGUCUUGUAAUUGGAAUGAGUACAAUUUAAAUCCCUUAACGAGGAACAAUUGGAGGGCAAGUCUGGUGCCAGCAGCCGCGGUAAUUCCAGCUCCAUAGCGUAUAUUAAGUUGUUGUGGUUAAAAGCUCGUAGUUGAACCUUGGGCCUGGCUGGCCGGUCCGCCUCACCGCGUGUACUGGUCCGGCCGGGCCUUUCCCUCUGUGGAACCCCAUGCCCUUCACUGGGUGUGGCGGGGAAACAGGACUUUUACUGUGAAAAAAUUAGAGUGCUCCAGGCAGGGCCUAUGCUCGAAUACAUUAGCAUGAAAUAAUAGAAUAGGACGUGUGGUUCUAUUUUGUUGGUUUCUAGGACCGCCGUAUGAUUAAUAGGGACAGUCGGGGGCAUCAGUAUUCAUUUGUCAGAGGUGAAAUUCUUGGAUUUAUUGAGACUAACUACUGCGAAAGCAUUUGCCAAGGAUGUUUUCAUUAUCAGGACGAAGUUAGGGGAUCGAAGACGAUCAGAUACCGUCGUAGUCUUACAUAACUAUGCGACUAGGGAUCGACGUGUUAUAUUUUGACCCGUCGGCACUUACGAGAAUCCAAGUGCUUGGCUCAGGG
Molecule: ribosomal RNA, 990 nt
Filed under: Fusarium oxysporum
Lineage: Eukaryota; Fungi; Ascomycota; Sordariomycetes; Hypocreales; Nectriaceae
Description: SSU rRNA
Rfam family: Eukaryotic small subunit ribosomal RNA
Source: RNAcentral